This is a non-coding RNA of Phrynosoma platyrhinos (Desert horned lizard), 72 nucleotides long. The record is from the annotation of a GenBank genome assembly. Lineage: Eukaryota; Metazoa; Chordata; Lepidosauria; Squamata; Phrynosomatidae.
GCCAGUGUGGUGUAGUGGUUUGAACACUGGAGUAUGACUCUGGAGACCAGGGGUUGAAUCCCAGCUUAGUCA